Molecule: long non-coding RNA, 386 nt
Organism: Peromyscus californicus insignis
Lineage: Eukaryota; Metazoa; Chordata; Mammalia; Rodentia; Cricetidae
Exons: 3
Source: RefSeq, a predicted model, not a curated record
UUGGUUUUUCGAGACAGGGUUUCUCUGUGUAGCUUUGCGCCUUUCCUGGAACUCACUUGGUAGCCCAGGCUGGCCUCGAACUCACAGAGAUCCGCCUGGCUCUGCCUCCCGAGUGCUGGGAUUAAAGGCGCGCGCCCGCCACCACCGCCCGGCGGCUGCAGCGUCUUGAAGCUUGUCAGAGUCCAUGAACUGCUCGGAAUUGUCAUCCCUGCUGCAGGUGAAGAAUUUGACCACAGUCACAUACCUUGAAGAUGGGCACUGCCUGCCUAUGAUCCUGACGUUCUGGAGGCAAGAGGAACAUGACUUCAAGGCCAGCCAGCUUGGGUUACAUAGUGAGGUCUUACCUAAAAAUGACAGUAAUGGAUGAAAAAUUAAAACAAGAAAGA